GAGCGAGCCGUGGGGAGCACGGCAGUAACUGGCCUUUUCCCACAGUCCCGGCUCCAGUUCCUGCCUCUGAGUUCCUGCCCUGCUUGUGAGCCUGCCUUGGUUUUCUUCAGCAAUGGACCAUUAUUAGGAAUAUAUAGAGUGUCUCUAUAACCUCCCAAGAAGAGAACCUGUGAAACAGGCCAGAACUGAACUAUCUCAGACUUGACCUGAAAGAUUCAUGUGAGUCAGACAGCAAGAGCCUGGUCCUGGCUCCUCAGUGCAGAAGCCAUUGUGAAACUUCUGAAAACCACAUUUUCUGGGUCCCCAUCAACUGCAGCACACACCUAGCAGGAUGGCCUCUGAUGGUUCUUUUGUCUGCCCUGCAGUCAGCCUGAGAGUCUUAAGAAAGGGCUCUGCCUCAUCCAUCAAUCCUUACCCAGCGCCCAGAUCUGGCAUGCAGACAGAGGUGCACUAUACAUCUCUGUGGAGAGGAACUCAGCCUGUCAAUCCCCACCUGCAUCAGAGUAAGGAAGCUGCAAAUAAACCCUGUUAGGAGAGAGCUCAGCAACUCCACCUUGACGUCAAGCUAACAUGCAAAACUGGCCCCGGCUCUGAGAUAUAAGAAAGUCUUGGGUUUCGAACUUCAAAGAACAGCCAGGACUCCCCGUGAGCAGGAUCCAUGGUUUCUUUGAAAGUCGCUCUUAGGAACAAAUGAAGGAGAGAAGCUAAGUGGUGGCUGAUGAUCUGAGAAGUGCCAGGUUCCACCUGGGCACCUCACACACUGCAUCUCCACGAGCUUUGAAGAAUGUGGGAAACACCUGCCUUAUGGGGAUUGGAAGAGCAAAGGCUGACAGUUCUCUGGUGGGCACGGGAUACAGGUCAGCUGUUCAGUAGUGUGCCCAACAUGUUAAAUGCUGGUUUCCUGGGCUAUCUGCCACUCUCAUCUCAGAGAUCUUGGGACCUGAGUGUGAGAGACAAGUAACAGAAAGAUGAACGGAGAAGGACAAAUACAGUGGAUGCACUAUUUAUUUCCUGGGACCUUGCUUCUGUUGUACCUUGUUAAUCCUACGCUGUGGGUUGAAUUGAUGCUUUACAAGCCCACAAUAUACAGUUUUAUGAGCCC
RNAcentral lists this long non-coding RNA (1102 nucleotides) under Mus pahari (shrew mouse). RNAcentral's name for it is "predicted gene 15412 (MGP_PahariEiJ_G0002185.1)". The record is from RNAcentral. Lineage: Eukaryota; Metazoa; Chordata; Mammalia; Rodentia; Muridae.